This 468-nucleotide long non-coding RNA is filed under the name Amborella trichopoda. RNAcentral describes it as "long non-coding RNA (ATRI_LNC004301)". The record is from RNAcentral. Lineage: Eukaryota; Viridiplantae; Streptophyta; Magnoliopsida; Amborellales; Amborellaceae.
CAAAACCCAAACUAAAUUAUCUUCCUUGAUAAGAUGUAGAGAGCACAUAACCGGUCAUAAUCAUAUUUCCAUUAAUUUUCUCUGUUUGUGCUUCAAGUCAAAGACAUAAAGGUGUGAGGUUGGUGCACAACUAAGGCAAAGAAUAUGUAAAUUUAUUACUAUGUAAGUGGGGUCUGCAUGCAGCUAUCCACCAUGAGACCUCAUCAAUUGAUAGUGAAGAUCAAUUCAGUCCACCAGCUAAACUGUGCCUCAUUUUCGCCGUCCAUUGAUAGUGCAGACGGCGGAUGGAUGAUUUGUGUACCCCACAACUAUGCGCGAUACUGUCGCUUGUCGGAGCUACAUGUAUGGCUUCCACAUGGCCUGAGUUUCGCUGUCUCAGUAUCAGUCGUGUAAGGGACACCUCCAAUCUCCAUGAGCGAUUUCAACCUAAUUUUUUAUUCAGCUUUUCUCCUCUGUGUAAGGAUUGUC